GAUGAAGAACGUAGUGAAAUGCGAUAAGUAAUGCGAAUUGCAAAUUCAGUGAAUCAUCGAGUCUUUGAACGCACAUUGCGCCCCCUGGUAUUCCGGGGGGCAUGCCUGUCCGAGCGUCAUUGCUGCCCUCAAGCACGGCUUGUGUGUUGGGCCCCGUCCUCCGAUCCCGGGGGACGGGCCCGAAAGGCAGCGGCGGCACCGCGUCCGGUCCUCGAGCGUAUGGGGCUUUGUCACCCGCUCUGUAGGCCCGGCCGGCGCUUGCCGAUCAACCCAAAUUUUUAUCCAGGUUGACCUCGGAUCAGGUAGGGAUACCCGCUGAACUUAAGCAUAUCAAUAAGCGGAGGA
Molecule: unclassified non-coding RNA, 345 nt
Filed under: soil metagenome
Description: partial contains 5.8S ribosomal RNA, internal transcribed spacer 2, and large subunit ribosomal RNA
Rfam family: 5.8S ribosomal RNA (bases 1-119)
Source: RNAcentral